CUCGAUGGUUCACGGGAUUCUG
RNAcentral lists this non-coding RNA (22 nucleotides) under Arabidopsis thaliana (thale cress). Lineage: Eukaryota; Viridiplantae; Streptophyta; Magnoliopsida; Brassicales; Brassicaceae. The record is from RNAcentral.